RNAcentral lists this transfer RNA (72 nucleotides) under Marmota monax (woodchuck). It matches the Rfam family "tRNA". From Rfam's summary of the family: Transfer RNA (tRNA) molecules are approximately 80 nucleotides in length. Their secondary structure includes four short double-helical elements and three loops (D, anti-codon, and T loops). Further hydrogen bonds mediate the characteristic L-shaped molecular structure. tRNAs have two regions of fundamental functional importance: the anti-codon, which is responsible for specific mRNA codon recognition, and the 3' end, to which the tRNAs corresponding amino acid is attached (by aminoacyl-tRNA synthetases). tRNAs cope with the degeneracy of the genetic code in two manners: having more than one tRNA (with a specific anti-codon) for a particular amino acid; and 'wobble' base-pairing, i.e. permitting non-standard base-pairing at the 3rd anti-codon position. RNAcentral also lists the same sequence under 1 other name. Lineage: Eukaryota; Metazoa; Chordata; Mammalia; Rodentia; Sciuridae. The record is from Rfam by way of RNAcentral.
GGGGAUGUGGCUCAAUGGUAGAACACUUGCCUAGCAUGUAGGAAACCCUGGGUUUGAACCUCAGCAUUGCCA